Molecule: non-coding RNA, 93 nt
Organism: Glonium stellatum
Lineage: Eukaryota; Fungi; Ascomycota; Dothideomycetes; Gloniales; Gloniaceae
Source: the annotation of a GenBank genome assembly
GGUCGCUUAACUCAGUUGGUUAGAGUGUGGUGCUAAUAGUCAUACAACGACUGUGAUACGCCAAAGUCGCGAGUUCGACCCUCGUAGUGACCA